AGCCUCCAGGAGCAGUGGAUUCAUAUUGCAGGCAAUGAGUCCCAGCAAUAACCCUGGAGGCAAAAAAAAAAAAAAAAAAAAGGAAAGAAAGAGAGAGUAAGAUAGAAGAUAGACAUCUACAUACCUGCUUCACUGCUCAUGAAGCAUCACCCUGCAGGUGGGGAGCGAGGUCUCAAACCCUGGUCCUUGCACAUAGUUCUAUAUGUGCUUGACUGGGUGUGCCUAUUAACUUUUGAAUGCUGCCUGGGUGGUAGACACACAAUCAGGCAUCGGGCACACAUAGCUGCUAGCGCUAAGAGAACAAAAAAAAGCUUGAGCAAUUCCAAACCUGAAAAUGGAGAGAAAGGCAAGGAAAGUUAUUUGUAUGGUGCUGGGCUAUAGGAUAAAGAAGAGGGCCUAUUGGGAUGGGCCUUCAGGGGUGACGUGGAAAAGUAUCGACUUAAUUCCACUCCAACAAGGCCAUUGAACAGUUGAAGGAAUCUUACAAGUUGACAGGGGAGUAGAGACGGAUGGCACGAGCUACUCUGAGCAGUUCAGAAAGGAGACGCCACAGAGAACAGUCAGAGAUGCUCUGGGUGGCAGAGUGGCUCUUCCUUCCAAAGUUAUUCAGGGGCAGGUGAAGUAGCUCUCACUUGGUUCGUGUGCUUCUCUACUGUGUACAUGACCCAGGUUCAGACCCCCACCCCAGCUGCACAUUGAAAGGAAAUUUCGCGCUGUGGCUUUUCACUCUCUCUCUGUCUCUGUCUCUCUCUCUCUCUCUAUCCAUAUAUAUAAAGUGCCUCAGAGUUUCAAGGGGCCAGAAAUGUGGCUCAAGUGGCAGGGCACCCGUCUCCUCACUUAUUAAAAAUGACACAAGUCAGGGAGGUGACUCCGUGAUAGUGUUGUGAAUAAGACCCUGGGCUUGAUAUUGGGCAUUAGAAAGAAGAAUUUCAAGACAGUGACAGUGGAGAAUUAAACCAACACAGGGCCCUGUGUGACUGAGAUAUUACAUGCCCAAGAAGUCAACUCUGCGGGCAGGUUUAUAUUCCUAUGCAUCUAAUGUUUAAAAGAGAGACACUGAUAGCAUAGGAAAGAAGAGAAGAGAAGUGAUAACCAGAGAAAUGACCCCUGUGGUGGGCCCCGUAGUGUAUGUGGAAGGACUGGGCGAGAUGGUUCAUGCCUUUCCCUAUGGCCAGAAGAUAAAUGUAAGUGGGUUAGAAAUAUGGUUAUGGGAGCGGGGUGGGGGCGUAGACAGCAUAGUGGUUACGCAAAGAGACUCUCAUGCCCGCGGUCUCAAAGUUCCAGGUUCACUACCACACAACAUGAUAAAGUCAGAGCUGAGAAGUGCUUUGGUUAAAAUAAUAAUGACAAGAAAGGGGACCAGGCGGUGGUGCACAUCGUUAAGUGCACACAGGACCAAGAGAAAGGACUUUUGUAAGGAUCUGGGUUUGAGCCCCCAGCUCCCACCUAUGGGGGGAGGAGGUAGAGAGGGGACUUCAAAGCAGUGAAGCAGGUCUGCAGGUGGCUAUCUAUUCUCUCCCUCUCUGUCUCCUCUUCCCUUUCAAUUUCUCUGUCCUAUCCAAUAAAAUGAAAAAAAAAAAAAAAAAGGCCGCCAGGAGCAGUGGAUUCAUAAUGCUGGUACCAAGCCUCAGGGAUAGCCCUAGUGGCAAAAUAAAAUAAAAUAAAAUAAAAU
Erinaceus europaeus (western European hedgehog) is the source of this 1672-nucleotide long non-coding RNA. RefSeq lists it as uncharacterized. Lineage: Eukaryota; Metazoa; Chordata; Mammalia; Eulipotyphla; Erinaceidae. The record is from RefSeq and is a predicted model, not a curated record. The transcript is spliced from 2 exons.